CACGUAGGGGCCAAGCGUUGUCCGGAUUUAUUGGGCGUAAAGAGCUCGUAGGCGGCUCGGUAAGUCGGGUGUGAAACCUCCAGGCUCAACCUGGAGACGCCACCUGAUACUGCUGUGGCUAGAGUCCGGUAGGGGAGCGUGGAAUUCCUGGUGUAGCGGUGAAAUGCGUAGAUAUCUGGAGGAACACCGGUGGCGAAGGCGGCAUCCUGGACCGGCAUUGACGCUGAGGCGCGAAAGCCAGGGGAGCAAACGGG
This 254-nucleotide ribosomal RNA is filed under the name uncultured bacterium. Its description in RNAcentral is "partial 16S ribosomal RNA". It matches the Rfam family "Bacterial small subunit ribosomal RNA", at positions 524 to 776 of the family's 1533-position model. The record is from RNAcentral.